GCCUCCUACAGCACCACUACAGGCGCACACAGGACAUAGCACCAGGGCUGCCUCCCCUGUCCUCCAAAACAACAACUUCUCAACCAUCUUGGAGCUACUACUGCUACUACUCUUCUAUUCACGGCACGGAGGCAUAUAAUUCUGACUGUAUGAGGGCACCCUUCUUGAGUUCAACUACAGCUCCCACCUUCCCAAAGGGUUUUGCUGGUGGCACCCAAACAACUGGCAAGUGGGCAGGGACGCUUCACAUAAUUUUGUUCAUUUAUAAUUCACAGCAGGCGCUUUGUAGUGACCUAAAAAAUCUUUUGUUGUACUUUGCCUGAAAUAUUUAUGGACACGGAUGAAGCUGAACAAUAAAUAAUGAAUGUGCGCUAUGAAUUUUGUUUUAUAUAUAUAGCGCCAACAUAUUCUGCAGCUUUAUUGAGAAUAUACCUCAUUCAUAUGAGUCCCUGCCCCAGUGAGCUUAUAGUCCAAGUCCCUACAAUGUUCACUCACACUGUGGGCACAUUUUCAGGAGCCAAUUAACCUGCUUGUAUGUACCUGUAUUAACCUAAAGAAAACCCACACAGACACAAAUAGAGCAUACAAACUCCUUGCAGACAGUGCCCUGACUAGAACUGAACUCAGGACCCCUGGAGUAGUACAAGGCUAUGGGUAGAGCCUUAGGAUACCACUCUGCUGUAAAUGACAACAGUUUUUUUUCAGUCUGAUGUAAUGGUUCUAUGUAUUUUUAUUUUCUCUGCUGUUUCUAUGUAUAGUGUAAUUGAAUCAUUUUAACUUGUCAUUUGUUUCCUCAUGUCAUUAAAUUAUUCAUCCUAUGCAA
Xenopus laevis (African clawed frog) is the source of this 823-nucleotide long non-coding RNA. RefSeq lists it as uncharacterized. The record is from RefSeq and is a predicted model, not a curated record. NCBI's taxonomy places the organism in Eukaryota, Metazoa, Chordata, Amphibia, Anura, Pipidae. The transcript has 2 exons.